RNAcentral lists this ribosomal RNA (585 nucleotides) under Triticum aestivum (bread wheat). RNAcentral's name for it is "partial small subunit ribosomal RNA". The record is from RNAcentral. Lineage: Eukaryota; Viridiplantae; Streptophyta; Magnoliopsida; Poales; Poaceae.
AUGACGACAGGCCGGUCACAAUACAUCGCUCUCUACCCGGGCUUCAGGGCCCUCAAGCUGCCCUACAGGAACGACGGCGACCAUGUGCAGCGGCAAGCUGCUGCAUUCUACAUGCUUAUCCUUCUCCCAGACAGCGGCACUCUAAGCAUCACGGAUCUCUACGACAAGGCGGUGUCGAUGCCGGAGUUCUUAAGGAAGCACACGCCGGAAGAGGAAGUUCCGGUGGGGCAGUUCAUGGUGCCCAAGUUCAAGUUCACGUCUGAAUUUGAGGCGUCCCCGGACAUGCAGAAGCUUGGUGUCACCAGGGCUUUCUCAGGCGGCGACUUCUCAGGCAUGGUGGGCGCUGGGGAUGGACGGCUCUCCAUCGGCGCGGUCUACCAUAAGGCCACCAUCGAGGUGGACGAGCAAGGCACCGUGGCCGCUGCUACCACGGCCAUAGUCAUGAUGUAUGGUAGUGCGCGUCCAAGCAAACCACCGCGUCUGGUCGAUUUUGUGGCAGAUCGUCCGUUCUUAUUUGCCGUGGUCGAGGAGAAGGCGAGCACAACAUUGUUCCUCGGUCAUGUGGUCAAUCCUCUUGCUAACUGA